Molecule: small nuclear RNA, 107 nt
Organism: Prolemur simus (greater bamboo lemur)
Lineage: Eukaryota; Metazoa; Chordata; Mammalia; Primates; Lemuridae
Source: Ensembl
GUGCUUGCUUCGGCAGCACAUAUACUAAAAUUGGAACGAUACAGAGAAGAUUAGCAUGGCCCCUGCACAAGGAUGACACCAUUGAAUUUCUAAAUAAAAAAAUAAAA